AGUAACACGUGGGGAACCUGCCCCUAAGUCUGGGAUACCAUUUGGAAACAGGUGCUAAUACCGGAUAAUAAAGCAGAUCGCAUGAUCAGCUUUUGAAAGGCGGCGUAAGCUGUCGCUAAGGGAUGGCCCCGCGGUGCAUUAGCUAGUUGGUAAGGUAACGGCUUACCAAGGCGACGAUGCAUAGCCGAGUUGAGAGACUGAUCGGCCACAUUGGGACUGAGACACGGCCCAAACUCCUACGGGAGGCAGCAGUA
Molecule: ribosomal RNA, 254 nt
Filed under: uncultured Lactobacillus sp.
Lineage: Bacteria; Bacillati; Bacillota; Bacilli; Lactobacillales; Lactobacillaceae
Description: partial 16S ribosomal RNA
Rfam family: Bacterial small subunit ribosomal RNA
Source: RNAcentral